AUAAGGCUUUUCUGCUAACAUAUAGGAAUUUUUGAAGAAAGGAAAGCCAUAAAUACCCAAUAUCUUGUUUCAGCAAGAUAUUGGGUAUUUCUUUGUUUUUUUUUUAUUCUGAAUCUUUCUAUUCUGAAUUCAGUUAACGACGAGAUUUAGUAUCCUUUCUUGAGUUUUCAUAACUCGUGAAAUGCCGAGUAGGCACGAAUUCCCCCAAUUUGCGACCUACCAUAGGAUUUGUUAUGUAAAUAGGUAUAUGUUCCUUUCCAUUAUGAAUCGCGAUUGUAUGGCCAACCAUUGUGGGUAGAAUGCUAGAUGCCCGGGACCACGUUACUAUUGUUUCUUUCUCCUCCUUCAUAUUGACCUUUUCGAUUUUUGCCAAUAAAUGAUGAGCUACAAAAGGAUUCGUUUUUUUUCGUGUCACAGCUGAUUACUCCUUUUUUUCCUUUUUAAAGAGUGGCAUUCUAUGUCCAAUAUCUCGAUCGAAGUAUGGAGGUCAGAAUAAAUAGAAUAAUGAUGAAUGGAAAAAAGAGAAAAAUCCUUUAGCUGGAUAAGGGGCGGAGAGCCAGUCG
RNAcentral lists this unclassified non-coding RNA (563 nucleotides) under Stipa penicillata. RNAcentral describes it as "partial miscellaneous RNA". Lineage: Eukaryota; Viridiplantae; Streptophyta; Magnoliopsida; Poales; Poaceae. The record is from RNAcentral.